UUUUUUUUAAUCAUGAUCGUCCUUUUGUUUUCAAUUUUCAUCACCCGAGUCCAAAUCCUCCAAUUAUGACGUCACAAACUGAGUUGGCCCCGACAUGAGGACCCACUUUGCAUACUUUGAACCAUUUAAAAGGGCAUAAUGGACAUUUAAACCCAAUAAUCUCAAUAAAUAAAUUAAUAAAUAAUAAAUUCCAUAAUAUAUGGGUCUUGGAUCAGAUCGACGUUUUCUGUCGCCGCUCUUCUUCUCCCCUGCCGACGAUCAACUUCUUCUCUUCUCUCCUACACCUAAAAAUUGUUGAAAUCUUGUUCUCUUAUCCAGGAGCAGGACCAUCCGAUUUGUGUGGUUGGAAUCGUUGUCAGCGGAAACGAUGUAGCAGAGAAGUCACAGCAGAGACGACGCGGAGGAGUUGGUUUCCAACGAGCUGGGCAUGGGCCAAGCCCUGUUCGGUGAGCGGGAUUUUGUUGUCCGGGGUGGUAGUGUAGGCGGCCAUGGUUGUACAGGCAGUACAGCAAGAAGACGAAGACGAAUAAGAUGAAGAUGGUCUCAGAUUCAUAUUCGUCUUCCUCUCCACCACUCUUAGAUUCGAGCAACCCCAAUUGACCCAGACUGACGAUGAUGCUCGCCUCGAAAAUCCCAACAACUCCCCCAAUCAAUUUUUCAAGGUUUGCUCAGCUAUGGAAUCUGGAUUAUGGACUUUUGUGGACAUGGCCAGUGACUGAGUUGAGUUGUCGGGGUGGGGCGUGUACAGCGCGUUGCUUCUUGGAGGUAGAGGAGAAAUCUUGUUUUAAUGGUGAAGGCGAAUUGAAUUCUGGUUUGAUGAUUUGGGUGGCGAAGGUGAAGUGAAAUCUGGUUUUGAUGGUUUGGGUGGUGGUGGGGAUGCCUCUGGAGAGUACAGAUAGUGGGUUUGGGGAGAUUGGGAGAUGAUAGAGAGAGUGUAGUCGGAGACUGAUUUUGAUGGUGAAGAGCAGGGGCGGAGCCACAUAUAGGCCAGCUUGGGCACUUGCCUAGAUUGAGUUUUUCUUGUCUACCUUGAUUUAUAUAUGUUGGCUGAAGGAAGCUACCUAAAACAUAGCAGAAAAGGGCAAAACCAGAUGAAUCUUGCCUUACCUAGGCUGAGUUUUUCUUGUUUGCCUUGAAUCUUGCCUUACCUAAGAAACUUUUCUGGAUCCGCCACUGGUGAAGAGGAUUGAGAGCGGGAAGUGAGGUAAGAGAGGAAAGGAUGGUUGGGUUGCGCUCAUGGUGGCGGUUGAGCGAAGCUGCGAAGGGAUCUAGGUUUUUGGGGUUAGAGAGAAGGUUGGGGGAUUUAGGAGAGUAGGAGAGAGGAGAGGAGGGUAGUUUGGACAUUUUGUCCAAAUUAAAGGUCAAAGUCUGCAAAGUGGGCCCUUAUGUCGGGGCCAACUCAAUUUGUGACGUCACAAUUGGAGGAUUUGGACGCAGAUGAUGAAAAUUGAAAGCACAGGGAUGAUCGUGAUUAAAAAAAUAGAUCAUAGACCAAAUUGAUGUUUGCCCCAAAGCUGGAGGGGACAAACUAAAUUUAGUCUUUUUGCAUUUAAGAGUUUUCCCUCUAUAGUCUCUUAUUAAAAAUAGUUAAAAUUUUUGGCA
This is a long non-coding RNA of Rosa rugosa (rugosa rose), 1602 nucleotides long. RefSeq lists it as uncharacterized. The record is from RefSeq and is a predicted model, not a curated record. Lineage: Eukaryota; Viridiplantae; Streptophyta; Magnoliopsida; Rosales; Rosaceae. The transcript is spliced from 2 exons.